This 1091-nucleotide long non-coding RNA is filed under the name Gallus gallus (chicken). RNAcentral describes it as "lncRNA (ENSGALG00000052942.1)". Lineage: Eukaryota; Metazoa; Chordata; Aves; Galliformes; Phasianidae. The record is from RNAcentral.
CUCUGAGAGGAAUGGAGUUCAAGGAACUGCUGAAACUGGGGUGCUGGGCUGAUCUGGGACUCAGUUGCAUCCAGCCCAGGCAAAUCUUGGAUUGAAGAAGUGGCGGUUGUGACUACUCCACGUGUUACGUAUAUGACACUUCUGGUGUCUGACAGGCUAAUGCAAAAUUGGAUUCAUCAUCUGUGAACCACUGUUUGCCUACUUCAGUAGUACUUCCAGCAAGAGAUAAGAGUAAUGGGAACACAGAAAGACAGCUGUUGCAAUCAAGACAAGAUACAAAAAGAUGCUGCAGAUUUCUCCAUUUAUUUACAUCUGAAGACAUGACCCACUGCCCAAGCAUGGCAGCUGCAAACGGGUAUAAUCAUUCCUUUGGCUCUAAAUUCAAAUAAUCAUGAUGGGCUUAUGGCAGUCCUGCUGUAUUCACAUGUUGAAGUAGGCAUACAGCUAGGAAAUGCAUUUUAGAAGAAUAGCUCUCUUCUGGGUGUUCUACAGAUCCAAAGAAGACUAAGGAGUAGACAUUGUUGCAGAGUAAAAAUGUGGCAGAGCUGCAAGGUGCACUGCUCCUUCAGGAGCGCAUCCAUGAAGUCAUGUUCACUCUCCAUAGCUUUCUUCAAUGGAGGUUUAAGCCUUCAGUAAUUACUGGAUCCUACAGGAGUAGUUUUAUCUCACUCAUGCCAGAAGGUGCAAUUUUAACUAGCAUGAUUAUAGCUCAGAAAGAAAAGGCCAGGCUCAGUCCAAAAUAAGUCAGAGGAGUUAUGUCUACUGUCAUCUAAAUGGAUUUGGCCUCAGAUAUUCAAAGAAAGUAUUACGUGAAAAGCCAGAGAAGAUCAUAUGUUCAUUAUGUAUGGCUUCCAUUAUAUACGUAGUAUGCGUAUUUUCUUUAGGUACUCUUAUACACAGGCUGUGGAUGCUCAAUUUUUGGCUGUAUAUCUACUUGGAAAUGUCCCAUACUGUGUGAUAAGACCCAGAUGGCAACCAGAUGGCUCCAUGUAACUCUUUGGAAGUGCUGCUGCAGACUGGGAGUAAGAAACUGAAGUCUACAAACAACUCCCUCUCUUUCUCAUGACUUCUACUAAUAAAGAGCAAAGAUU